Molecule: long non-coding RNA, 870 nt
Filed under: Piliocolobus tephrosceles (Ugandan red Colobus)
Lineage: Eukaryota; Metazoa; Chordata; Mammalia; Primates; Cercopithecidae
Description: lncRNA (ENSPTEG00000020956.1)
Source: RNAcentral
GGGUCAAGGCUUCGAACGCCUCCCAAGGAGGUGCAUCCCUGCAAGAGGCUGCAUCCAGCAGUCAUGGAAGAGGCUCCCCUGGGGCCUGCUCCAAUUCCUGCUGGGGAAAUCAAGUGGAGGUGCCCCUUGAAGAAAUGGUGAGGCCACCAAUUUCAGGGGUUCUGUCCUGGCCUGCGGCCCUGGAUCGUCCAGCCUCUGCUGGGAUGGGGAGCAGAUGACGCCCUUCUUGGCUGGAGCUGAGGGUGGGGGUCCCGCUUCCCCAAAGGCCUAGCCCUGGAUUCCAGCCACAGGUCCUACUGGGCAGCACCUGGCGCCGCCCCGCCCCUCCAGGCCUGGCACUCGCCCUUAAGAAACAUGGCGGCGAUGGCCUCACGCACCUCACGCCGCAGGCGCGUCACGCCACAGGCCAGCAAGGCUUCCUGUGUGCCACUCUCCUCCCCUCAGACUGGCUGCCAAAACAGGGAGCGGUAAGUAUGACCUGGCUGGUGGCGGUGUCCUGGGCGGCUCUGGGGCCGCUGUUGUGUGGCUGCCCGCAGGCGCUGCAGGGCGGGAUGCUGUACACCAGGGAGAGCGCGUCGCGGGAGCGCAAGGAACUCCAUGGCCUCUGAAGCUUCCAAGCCCACUUCUCCGACAACCGACGCCUGGGCUUCCAGGAGCAGAGGUACCGGCGACCGUUGGGAGAGGCGCCCAGAAGCCUGGCGUUGGGAAUGGCGGGAUCCGCACUGUGGCUGUCACUGAGAGCCCAUUCCUCAUCAAUGGGAAACCUUUCUAUUUCCACGGAGUCAAGAAGCAUGAGGAUGUAGACGUGCACUGCGGCUCCUGGGUCCUCGUGGGGGCUGCUUCUGGUCACCUUCCACUUUUGCCUUCCCU